GCAAUCAUGAAAGAGUCUUUGACUCGCUAAUUGAUGGGGAUAAGUCGUAUUAGCUAGUUGGUAAGGUAAUGGCUUACCAAGGCCAUGAUGCGUAGCCAGUCUGAGAGGAUGAAUGGCCACAAGGGAACUGAGACACGGUCCCUACUCCUUUUUGGGAGGCAGCAGUGAGGAAUAUUCCGCAAUGGGCGAAAGCCUGACGGAGCGAUACUACGUGAAGGAAGAAGGUCUAAGGAUUGUAAACUUCUUUACUUAAAUGUACUAGCCGUAAGGUUUUGCAUUUGAGCAAAAAGUCACGACUAACUAUGUGCCAGCAGUCGCGGUAAAGACAUAGGUGGCAAACGUUAUCCGGAAUUAUUGGGCGUAAAGGAUGCGUAGAUGGUUCGAUAAGUUACUGGUGGGAAAUCGAGGCCCAACCUCGCGGAAGUUAGUAAUACUGUCGAACUUGAGUGCAGGAGAGGUUAACGGAACUUUAUGUGGAGCGGUAAAAUGCGUAGAUAUAUGAAAGAACAUCAAUAUAGCGAAAGCAGUUAACUAUUCUGCUACUGACGUUGAGGCAUGAAAGCGUGGGGAGCAAAAC
Molecule: ribosomal RNA, 577 nt
Filed under: uncultured bacterium
Lineage: Bacteria
Description: bacterial SSU rRNA
Rfam family: Bacterial small subunit ribosomal RNA
Source: RNAcentral